GGAAAUCUCUGAGUUCUGCCCUCAGGCAGUUUCAGGUAAGGAAGGUGCAGAGGGUGGGUUGGUGUGGGCAUAAUCUGGCUGGGUGGGGCGGUCUGGGUGGUCUUGUUGCAGCUAGAUUUGCCCCUGUAAUGCAGAGAACGAAGUGAGAUUGGGGAGAAAGACGGGGGAGUGGGGAGAGGAAAGAAGGGGGAGUGGGGCCUGUGAGAGAGAGGGAGAGAGGGCAAUAGAAGGGAGUGUGGGGACCGGGAGAGAGACGGGGAGUGGAUAUGAAGAGACGGGGUAGUAAAAGAGAAAAGGGAUUGUAGGGGGAAAGAGAGAGAGAGAGAGAAGGGAGAGUGUGGAUUGAAAGAGGUAGAAGUCCGAGUGGGGAGAUGAAGAGAGAUGAGGAAGAAUAGGGAAUAAGUGACGAGUAAGGGCAAGUGUGUUGUGGAAGAGGGAUUCCGGAGAAAGGGGAGUACAACAGUGUCACUCCACUCUUCAGGAAGCGAGAGAGGCAGAGGGAAGGAAACUGAAGGCCAGUUGGUCUGACCUCAGUGUUUGGGAAAUGUUGGAUUCGAUUGUUAAGGAUGAUGUCUCAGUGCUCUUUGGGCAAAUGAUAAAAAGGGCCGUAGUCAGCAUAGUUUCCUGACAAAUCUGUUGAAAUUCAUUGAAGAAAUAACAAGCGGGAUCGACAAAAGACAAUCGGUUGAUGUUGUGUGUUUUGAAUUUCAGGCCUUUAAAAAGGUGGCAGACAUGAGGCUGUUUAACACGCUACGAGCCCAUGGUAUUACAGAAAGAGCCCAGCACAGAUAAAGCAGUGGCUGAUUGACAGGAGGCAGAAUGUGUGAAUAAAUGGAGCGUUUUCUGUCUGGCUGCAGAUGUCCAAUGGCAUUCCACAGGGGUCUGUGAUGGGACCCAUUCUUCUCUGCUAUAUGGCAAUGACUUGGAUGAUGUAUUUGAUGGUUUUGCUGCAAAAUCUGCAGAGGACAUGAACAGAGAUGGAGGGAAAGGUAGUUCUGAGGACGUAGAGAGGCCACAGAAGGAGCUAGACAGAUUAGGAUUGGAAACGGCAGAUGGUAUACAGAGCAUUCAUUUCAUGAGGACUAAAAGGUAAAAGUAGGGACGAAAUGUUGAAACAUUAAAAAGCUCUGGUGAGGCCUCACUUGUAGUAUUUUGAGCAGGUUUGAGCUGCUUGUCUUAGAAAGCAUGUGCUGAAUCUCGAGGGGGUUCAGAGGUGGGGCACGAAAAUGGUUCCAGUAUUGAACAGGUUGUCAUAUCACCAUUGAUGUCUCUGGGCCAGAAUUCAGAAAAAUAAGGGGUGAACUCGUUGAAGGAGGAGCCUUGAUAGAGUGGAUGUGGGCAGGGUUUUUCCUGUGAUUGGUGGGUCUAAGACCGGAUGAGACAUGAGGGCAUCCUGUUAGAACGGAAAUGAGGAGGAGUUUCUUUAGCCAGAGUGGAGAAUCUAUGGGAUUCUUUGCCACAGGCAGUGGUGGAGGCCGAGUCUCUCUGUACAUUUACUACAGAUGGUCAUAUAUUACUGAUUGUUCAGGGUGUUAAAGGAUACGGGGAGAAGACAGGAGAUUGGGUCUGUUGCGAAAUUGGAUCAACCAGGAUGAUAUGCUGAUAUAUUGAAACAGAGUGGAUGGGCCGAAUGUCCUAACCUGCUCCAGCACCUCAUGGUCUUAUGGACUUUCUGCCUUUUGAACACUUCUGUCUCUUUGGGAUGUGUAUAUCCUGCGCUUUCUGAAUUGCUUCCCGAAAUUCCACCCAUUCUUGCUUUGACGUUAUCGGUGCCAAAGGUCUUUUCCAAUCACUUUUGGCCAGCUCCUCUCUCAGGCCUCUGCAGUUUCCUUCAUUCCACUGCAACACUGCAUCUCCGUUGUGCUUCCCCUUCUCAAAUUGCAAAUUCAAUCCCGGUUCAUUGCAUCACACCCUAACCAGAAUAGCAGAUCCCUUAGUGCAGUGGUCCCCAGCCACCAGGCCGCAAUGCAUGUUCUACUGGGCCGCGAGGAACCGAAAUGAUUUGGCGAUAGUGGGUUUAACCACGAGCUGCUCUCUGAAGCCACCUCGCAGGCAUUCUAGAAAUUCUCCCCCGGGGCAUCCAGCAGCAACCGGGCUUUCCCAAUCUAUUUGUGUACUGAAAUCCCACAUGACUAUUGUAACGUUGACCCGCUGACUUGCAUUUUCUAUCUCCCGUUGUAGUUUGUAGACUACGUCCUUACUACUGUUUGGGGGUCUGCACAUACCUUCCACCAGGAUUUCUUUGCACUUGCAGUUCCUCAGCUCUCCCCACAGCGACUCAGCACCUUCCGACCCUAUGCCAGCUCUUUCUGAUGGUUUGAUUUUGUUAUGUUUACCAACAGGGCCACGCUGUCAGUGAUGCCCACAACCUCAUGUAUGCCAGUCCGCAGCUCUUCCUCCUCGUCAGUUUGCACAAUGCGCGCAUUCAAAUGUAAUACCUUCAGUCCUGUGUUCAGCCUUUUAGAUUCUGUGCGUCUUUUCCAUCGCAACUCAUCCUGUCGACUGCCAGGUUGCCCGAUCAGCAGCCUUUCAUUGCCAGCAGUCUCACAACAUACUGUCUCUGUCUACAAACCAACGACCUCAUCCUCGGCGGUAGCACAUCGGUUCCCAAACCCCUUACCUAACUCACAAAAUUUCUUUUCAGGGCCUGCUGACAUUUUUAACUGUCAUUGGUGCCAAUACUUACCAACAAGUCUGGUUGCUCGCCCUCCCCCUUUAGAAUGCCAGGGACCUGAUCGGAGUCAUCCCUGUCCCUGGCAGCUGGACACAUCUCACCAUCCGGGUGACUCUAUCGCCAGCACAGAACCGCUGGUCGGUGGUUGACAACAGGAGGGACUCUAACCCUGUUACGGCGGAGGGAGGAUCGGGUGAGAGUUAAUGUUCUGGAAAUGGAGGGGUUGCCUCAUCGAUCAGAGGGAAUGAAAGGUUGGAGAGGCUUCAGUUGUUUCCUCUGUAGCGAUGGGGGCUGAGGGGAGACCAGAGGCAGACCGAGGCUGAGUAGAGAUCUGAGAGAAGAGAACCGACAUCGUUUGUUCACCAGGUGAAUAUCUCAAUUCCCAGAGGAUUUCAAUGUGAGCGUGGGACAGUUCAGAGAUGAUAUUUACCUGUGCCCCAGUACUCAAUUCUGCUCCACAGUUCGUUCGUGUUCUCUCUCUCUCUCUCUCUCUCUCUCUCUCUCUCUCUCUCUCUCUUUAUAAAUAUACAAUUCCUCAUCUCAUCUUUUCCUCAUCCAUACUCUUUUGCACCUUCCCACUCCCCACUCCUUCCUCCAAACAUUCUUCCCGACACAGUCACUAACCUGCAUCUUUCCCUUAUUGUCUCUUACUCCGUUUAUGCCUAACCUUUCGCUUGCCUCUCGUUUACUCCCCAAUUCCCCCUUUGCUGUAGCUUGCUGUCUCCGCCACCCACCCGUCCAGACCAGCACCCCUCCCUCACCCCGCACUGUGAUGACGGUUUUACACACUCAGUGGAUUACAGAUGUUGUAUAAUUUCUCGUCGGUUGGAAAGAUUCAAUGUUCUCUCAGAAGAUAAAGGCUUGUGGUUUCUGGGAGAGGCCUGUUUGUUUCCGUUUAGUGUGCUGCAGAAUAGGCGGUGGAGGAGUGUGGAGAAGGGGGAGAGAGGGUAAUUGAGGAUGUAAGAGAGGGGGAAGAAGAGGGGAAAGGAGAGGGGUAGAGAGAAGGGAAAGAGAGAGGGAGAGAGUGACAGGCACAGAGAAUGGGGGGGGAGAGGAGAGAGAGUACGAGAGAGUGACAGGCAGAGUUAGGGUGGGGGGAGAGAGAAGAGAAGAGGAGAGAUGAACGUAAAUUGGGACAUUUGCUUUAAAUGAAUCAAGGUACAGUGAUAUCUUUUGAUUCGCAUCCCGUCUAUAAAGAGCAAUUCAUCACCUCGAGACUGGGAGUGCGGGGUCGCGAAAUGUGAGGGGGCAAUUAAUUAACAACGAAUCAUACAGACCAAUUAAUCACAACACUGGAUUAGGCAGAUUGUGAAGUUAGUGGUCCAUCUCUCAGGAAGUCAGAAUGUUCGACGUUUGUGGGGUCUUUGAUAAUGCGGACUGUUUUAUUGAGGCAGAGAGAUGUGUAAACAGUGUUCACAGUUUCCAUGAUGUACUGAACUUGUUCACAGCUCUCUGCAGUGUUUCCGGUGGUGGUCAGUGCUGUUGCCGUGACAACACGACUAGUUUCCGCACAGGAUGUGUUCUGUAAAAAUAGAUGAUGGUCGUCCAGGAGGAGCCGAUUUUCUUCAGCCUCUGGAAGAAACAGAGAUGCCGCUGAGCUCUCUUGGCGAUAGUGUCCUUGUGGCUGGACAAGGACAGGCUGUCAGUGGUGUUCACUCUCAGGAGAUUGGAGCUCUCAACCCCCUUAUCCUCUGCUGUUGAUGUAAACAGGAAUGUCUGCAUCGCCCCGGCUGACUUCCUGUUGUCAGUAACCAGCUCUAUUGUGUGGGUGAAAUGGAGGGGGUGGGGAGUGUUGAUACCAGGUCACAAAGCUCUCCAGCUCCGACACGACACGCGGGUGGAGAAGGUUUACAGGAGUAAAUUCCAACCGUGUGAAAACAGCACUGGCUCUGUGAACACGGGUGGAUCUGUCCAGACGGACUGAAGGGUCUAUUUACGCGCUUUCCCCGAAUCUCGUCCUUCUCUCUCACUUUUCUCACUCUCACCUUCCUCUCUCUAGUCUCUCUCCGCUUCUCCUCUCUCAUCCCAAACUCUACUAUCCCUCCUCCUCACUCUCCUCUAUUACUCCCCACUCCCUCCGCCUUACACCACGCUCACACUGACCCCUCACCCUCUGCUUACUCCCUACCUUCCUGAAUCCUGCAUCACUCAUAUGAAACAUAUUCCUCCCGCGUCCUCCUCAUCCAGCCGAAAGGCUUUAUCUGCUGUCGCUUCCGCAGGACACGGAUUUACUCAAAUUCCGGUGACUCUGAUUCACUGUCAAACCCUCAGCGGAGAGGGUGGGAGAGGGCGAGGGGAAAUAUCAGGACAUUGGGAAGAGGGAGAAACAGUUGAGGGAAUUGGGAAGGGGGCGAGGGAGGAGGGAGAUUAAGGGACGACGAGAUGUGGGAAGAAGUAAGUGUGUAGAAGGAAGAGAGAUAGAAUGGGUGAAGAGCUCGGGGGAAGUUGAGAAGCAGGAGAUACCGGGAGAGCAAGUUCACUCUCACCCUCUCCAUCUCCCUCUCCCUAUACGUCUCUCUCUCUCACUCCCACUCCUUUCUCUCUCUCCCUCUCCCCCUCUCUCUCUCUCAAACUCCCUCUGUCUCUCUCCCGCUCCUCUUCUCUCCCCCUCUCCCUCACUCUCCUCUCUCUCUCUCUCACUCUCUCUCCACACCCCCUCUCUCCCCCUCUAUUUCCCUCUCCCUCUCACUCUCUCUGACUCUCUCACUCCCUCUCUCGCUGUCUGUGUCUGUCCCUCUCACUCACUCUCUCCCCAUCCUCUCUCUGUUCCUUACUCGCGCUCUCUCUCACUCUGUUCCUCUCCCUCUAUCUCUCUCCCUCUCUCUGCUUCUCCCUCUCCCCCCGUUCGUCUCUCUCUGUGUCUCUCUCUGCCUCUCUCUGUCACCCCCUCUCUCUGUUCCUCACACGCUGUCUCUCUCACUCUCUGUUCCUCUCUCCCACUCUCUCUCUCUCUCUCUUUCUCUCUCUCUCUCUCUCUCUCUCUCUCUCUCUCUCUCUCUCUCUCUCUCUGUUUCUCUCUGUCUCUCUCCCUCUCUCUCCCCCCCUCUUUGGCCUUCCCUCUCUCCCCCUCUCUCUGUCACCCCCUCUCUCUGUUCCUCACACGCUGUCGCUCUCACUCUCUCUCUGUCUCUCUCUCCGUCACUCUCUGUUCCUCUCUCUCUGUCUCUCUCCCUCCCUCUCCCCCUUCUCCCUCUCACUCUCAGUGUACUAUAAAGGCACGGAUGGAGGAAAAGAUAUGCAGUCUGGGAACAAGGCGGAGCAGGGGUCACUGACCAAAGCCAAUGCCGAUACAAUUAAUUGCUGACUUGGUCAGUUUCACUCCUCGCUCUCCAUCUCUGUCUAACUGUCCGUGGCGGACAGAUGUGACAGAGGUGAGGAGAGAAAGAGAGUGAGGUAGAGAUAUGUUAAGAGACAAAGGGUAGACUAUGGGGGAGAGAAUGGGACAGUGCGGGUAGGUAGGUUGAAGAGGGUGAGAGUGGGAUGAGCGAGUGGGUGCAGUGAGAGAGGGUGAAGAGAGGCACCGAGGGAAGGGGGAAGGAAGGUGGAGGCUAAGAACGUGAGCAGCGAUAGAGGGUGGGCAGGCAGAGAGGGAGAACCAUUUUAUGUGAAAUCUGAGCAAACAAGAGAAGAAGAGCGGGAACAGGGGUGGGAAGGAAGGAGUGGACCAGCGUGAAAGUGGGAGAGAUGGAGAGGGCUGGAGUGGAGGAGAGUGUGGGAGUGAUUGCGAGAGUAAUACAGGGGAGAGGUGUGUGUGUGUGUGUGUGAGAGAGAGAGAGAGAGUGAUAAAGGGGGAGACAGAGAGACUGCAAUGAACAGUUGGGGUGAGAGAGGGACAGAGAGAGUGAGCACGUGGGAGAGAUGGGUAAGAAUGGAGGAAGGGAGAGACGUGCAGGAAAUGGGAAAAGAAAGGGGCAGAGAGGAGGAGGUGUAACGGAGAACACAAAAUGCUGGAGGAACUCAGCAGUUCAGGCAACCUCUAUGGAAAAUAAUAAAGAGUGGACGUGUCGGACCGAGAUCAGCAAGCUGAGAGGAUUCUAUCAGUGGGGAGUAGGAACUGUCGAGGAUGCUGCGGGAUUGUUUGUCAGAUUACAGCAGACGUUGAUGGACUUUCGAUCGGUCAGGACAUGAAAGGAUACAAGGCGAAGGCAGGAAAAUGGAGCUGAGAGGGAAAAUGGAUUUACCGUGAUGAAGUGGCAGAGCAGUUUUGAUGGGCCAAAUGGCCUAAUUCUGCUCCUGUCUCUCAUGGUCUUAUGGUCCAAGAGCAGCCUCUCAUUCAAUUAGAGCAAGAGCAAUGAACUGGUUCUGGACUUUGGAGGAGGAAACAGGAACCCAUGAGGCAAUCUUCAUCGGGGCUCAAAGGUGGAGACCUUCAGCAAAUUUAAAUUCCACAGUGUCAACAUUUCAGAGGAUCUGUUCCGAGCCCGGGACACAAGUGCAAUUACACGAAAGCAGGAACUGUCUGUUCCUGCUCAGAAGCUUGAAUGGAUUCAGAAUGACAUCUAAAACCCUGACAAACUUGGACAGAUGUGUGGUGGGGAGCAUGUUCAGAGGUUGCAUCAUGGCCUGGUAUGGAAACACCAAAGCCCCUGAAAGGAAAAUCCGAUUAGAAAUAGUGGAUAUGGCCCAGCACAUCACGGGUAAAACUCUCCUUACAACUGAGCACAUCUCUGAGGGCUGCUGUCACAGGAAAUCAGCAUCCAUCAUCAAGGACCCCCACCACCCAGGCCAUGCUCUCUCCUCAAUGCUGCCAUCAGGAAGAAGGUGCAUGAGCCUCAGGAGCCUCAACCCCAGGUUCAGGAACAGUUAUUACACUCAACCAACAGGUCCUAAAAAAGAGGGGAUAAUUUUACUCAAAUUAACUUGCCCCAUCACUAAACCAUUCCCACAACCGAUGGACAUAAUCAACAACUCUUCAUCUCAUGUUCUUAAUUUUUAUUUCUGGGUUAUUUCUUAGUUUUAUUCUUUUGUAUUUGAAUUUCGUUGUCUUUUCCACAUGGUUGUUUUGUUUGUCCUUUUGUGGGCGAUCUUUCAUUCAUCGUAUAAUGGUUCUUGAGUUUACUGAAUUUACAAUAUAAUCAAAUCCCAGGAUUAUACUUGGUGACAUGCGUAUACUUUGAUAAUAAAUUUACUUUGCACA
Hypanus sabinus (Atlantic stingray) is the source of this 7811-nucleotide long non-coding RNA. RefSeq lists it as uncharacterized. Lineage: Eukaryota; Metazoa; Chordata; Chondrichthyes; Myliobatiformes; Dasyatidae. The transcript is spliced from 2 exons. The record is from RefSeq and is a predicted model, not a curated record.